CUGCAUCCUCCUAGGUUUCUUCUGUUGAAAUAUAAAAGGCAAGCUAUAACUGAGGAACCCAGCUAGUGGAACCACUUGGACUUUAAUCACUUUUUACUUCACUUGGGGGUCAAGAGAUAAUCCAAACAGAAGGCCCCAGACUUCUGGAAUAUGCAAAGUGUGGCAAAUAUUGACACUGACUCAAUGAAUGCAGAUCAACAUGAGACAGUGGAGAAGGAUGAUGGAUCCCCACAAAGACAAGCCCACCUGGAUUGUGGUAAUGAGACACUAAGCUGACAAACACCACCAAAAUGUCAAUUUCAGCUGCAAACUGCUCAGGACAACUUCAAAUCUGCUAGCUGAAAGGGUCCAGCCUCACAGAAUACUCUAGCCAGGACUUCAGAUAAGCUCUACACUUUCUCAUUCCACAGUGACUGCAUAACAAAUGUUACAGCUAAUUUUCUCAGGAUUUGACCAUUAUUUCUAUUUUCUCAGGGUCCCCUGAAGAUGCCACCACCCAAAGACUACAGGAAGUAAUUUUAGGAACACAACACCCACUUUCCCAAAAGGUGGGGUGGGUAGUCUUUAGUCACUUGUGGAUUAUAGAUGUUUAUCAUCAUUUAGGGGGAGUUGGUUGAAAAUUGUUACUGGUCAUAGUCAUGGAAGAAACUAAGCAAAGAAGAUUAGAGUUAGGGCUCUCAUUCUAAAAAGAAAAAGGGGGAUAAAAUAGGCAUGUUAGGAUAAAAGGGUAGAUUAUUGAACCUACUUUUAAACUAAAAAUGCAAUUGCUAGUCUUAAAUAUUUUACAUUAGUAAAAUAUUUUGUAUAUUGACACACAUUUUUUAUGUAAUUAAACCUCAAUUUCUUAAAUAAUCAACAACAAUAAUAAGAACAAAUAAUUCCAACCACGGACAAUUUUAUGGACUCCAAAAGAUAAAUUAAUGUACAUAUAAGAACUUCAACGUGUGAGUGCACUAAAUGCUGGGCACUGUCAAAUCACAUCCUAGCCCAACUGUUUGGCACUGUCAAACUACCACAUAUCAGCCCAACCAACUGACACAGGUCUGUGUUCUGACUGAGAUAAUCUGACCAAGAUAAUUUGCUGUAAGACCAUUGUUAAAAUUUGCUUUAUAAUGUCUGGAUUUCUUGCCUUAUUUCACUAAACAGCCCAUUAAAUACCAUUGCAAUGUUUUCAACAGCAUUUUUCUAAGUCCUGUAGCACUAAGAAGCCCACUCAGCAAUGCUUGACAUAAAGCCUGAUGAUGUUUCUGAUUUCCCUAAAGUUUUCUUUGGGAAUUUUUUAAUUCACAAAUUUAAGGUUAUUUUUGUUACACUGUAUAUGUGUUUCUACUUUUAAGGUAUUUUUGUAUAUUGACACAAAUUUAAGGCUAUUUUUGUUAUACUGCAUAUAUGUUUCUACUCUUUUUUAAGUUAUAGUACUUUUGCAGCUCAUGUAACAAUGCAGUGUAAAUUUCUAGCCAUUGAACGGUAUUAUUAUAAACUACUUAGGAUAAUUAAAAAAUACAGGUUAGUAGUUAGUCAUCUAACAAUCAAAUUUGUGGCAAUGUUAGUUAUGUUUUCAAGGCCAAAUAGAGAUACAUUUUAGAUAGACAGAUGUUCUUUAAACACUUCAGGGACCUACAGAAUAUGGCAUUUAAAAUAUUUUAACAACAUAAGGCUUCUCAUGACAAUGAGAUAUGCUUGUCCCUGGCAGCAGCAAUUUACUUCAAAAAAAGGAUGAUGGGCAUUGAAUGGCCUCCAUAUGGAGUUGUUUUCAUUGUGGCAAAGCCAGCCAUCUGUUCAAGAAGCUGUCUGUGUCUCAACUGCUGACAGUAUACUGCCCAAAUUGAACAAGCAGGACACAAAAGCAAGUGACUGUUCAACUUUGCUAAGACAAGGUGGGACAGUCCUUUGAAAUCCCCCCUUAACAAAAAAAGUCUGUCAGAUGUUCUAUACCUUAGGCCAAAGAUGGAUACCCCAAUGUUACAGGGAAAACCUGGGUGACUGUCCAGGAAGCCAGGUGUCUCUCAUUUCUAUAGUUCUGGAAUUUUUUUUUUGCUCUAUACUUCCUGUUUACUCAGAUAAUAUUAUAUCCUUCUUCAGUCUUUGAUGGUUUGAAGACUAGAUAGUUAUAGUUACAGUUUUUCUUGUUACUAAAUUCAGAAAAGAAACUCACAAAAGUAGUGUAAAGUGUAUAAGAUUGAGAGAUAUAAAAGCAUAAAUUGUUUAUCUACAAUAAUGUUUAGAAGUCUAAAAAUAGUGUUUUGGGUUGGUAAUACAAGUUAGGAUACAAAGUGAAUUAAACACAAAACUUUGGACUCACCAAGAUAGGAUAGAUAAUGGAGUAUUUUCUCUGAACUUGCCAAAUGCAAAUGGACUGGACUUUCUGGUAAUUGUUCUUAUUGCAUAUAGUUUACUGUUAGAGUUAAAAACCUUCCUUUUUAUUUAGACAAAAAGGGAGAUAUGUGGGAUAUUUUGAUUACACUCUGACACUCCUAAGACUGUCAGUAAAAUUUACCUUGAAUCAGAGGGCAGAGCUAGCUACUAACUGACCCAAAUUAGCAAUAGAGAUUUUGGAGGACUGAGGACAUAUAGAGAGAUAAAGGAAGUAGUAGGGAAGGUUUUAGAAAGAGUCUUGGCCCUCCUUUGGAUCCAGGGAGGAGAGAGAGGAGGUCACUGGUUGCUUCUCUGUCAUUUCUUAAUCAAUCAGUUCUCACCCCAAUAUCUGACUCCUGAGUGUUUUAUUGAUAAAGAAUAAUUAGAUAAAUGCUCCACAGCUGUUAUGAGAGAACAAGAAAUGUAGAGGCGGGUGAGAAGAAAUAGGUUACUUGAUGCAAAUCACAGCCAGAUAAUUUAUAGUAGUACAAUGAUGAUAGAAUUCAACAAAGCUUGAUAAGAGGAUUUCUAAUGUUCUCAACACAAAUAAAAGAUAGAUAUUGGAGAUGUCAAAUAACAUAAACAUCUUGAAUUGAUAAUGGUACAGAUAUACUGAAUAUGAUAAUGUAUAAAAUAUACUGAAUCAUGCAUGACACUUUACUCCUAAAAGUUAUGUA
Molecule: non-coding RNA, 3032 nt
Organism: Cricetulus griseus (Chinese hamster)
Lineage: Eukaryota; Metazoa; Chordata; Mammalia; Rodentia; Cricetidae
Source: RefSeq, a predicted model, not a curated record